CCCAGAACCCUUUGUGAACUUAUACCUACUGUUGCCUCGGCGCAGGCCGGCCUCUUCUCUGAGGCCCCCUGGAAACAGGGAGCAGCCCGCCGGCGGCCAACCAAACUCUUGUUUCUAUAGUGAAUCUCUGAGUAAAAAACAUAAAUGAAUCAAAACUUUCAACAACGGAUCUCUUGGUUCUGGCAUCGAUGAAGAACGCAGCGAAAUGCGAUAAGUAAUGUGAAUUGCAGAAUUCAGUGAAUCAUCGAAUCUUUGAACGCACAUUGCGCCCUCUGGUAUUCCGGAGGGCAUGCCUGUUCGAGCGUCAUUUCAACCCUCAAGCCUGGCUUGGUGAUGGGGCACUGCCUGUAAAAGGGCAGGCCCUGAAAUCUAGUGGCGAGCUCGCCAGGACCCCGAGCGUAGUAGUUAUAUCUCGCUCUGGAAGGCCCUGGCGGUGCCCUGCCGUUAAACCCCCAACUUCUGAAAAUUUGACCUCGGAUCAGGUAGGAAUACCCGCUGAACUUAAGCAUAUCAAUAAGCGGAGGAA
This 526-nucleotide ribosomal RNA is filed under the name Phomopsis sp. C3P13F. RNAcentral describes it as "eukaryotic LSU rRNA". The stretch from base 154 to 307 matches the Rfam family "5.8S ribosomal RNA". Lineage: Eukaryota; Fungi; Ascomycota; Sordariomycetes; Diaporthales; Diaporthaceae. The record is from RNAcentral.